RNAcentral lists this ribosomal RNA (672 nucleotides) under Triticum aestivum (bread wheat). RNAcentral's name for it is "partial small subunit ribosomal RNA". The record is from RNAcentral. Lineage: Eukaryota; Viridiplantae; Streptophyta; Magnoliopsida; Poales; Poaceae.
AUGUAUUUGCGUUGUGCAGUACACGAUUCUCCAACCAAAUGGGCAGCAUGGCUUCCUCAGGCAGAGGUUUGGUAUAACUCUAUAUACCACUCGUCCCUGGGUUGCAUUCCUUACAAAGCACUGUAUGGGCAAGAUCCAAAUGUUGGACAGUUCGCAGGUUAGUCUACUUCUCUGCACCCGGAUGUUUAGACCUGGUUGGCCUCUCAGUCAGAGCAUACAUCACUGUUAAAGGAUCAUCUCGCUCGAGUGCAGUGGAAGUACAAGCACUUCGCGGAUAAGAAACGAUCUGAUCGCCAAUUUGCCGAAGGAGAAAUGGUAUACCUGCACUUACAGCCAUAUGCUCAGUCUUCUGUGGUCAACCGUCCUUGUCCAAAGCUAGCUCUCAAAUAUUUUGGCCCUUUCAAGGUGUUGGAAAAAGUGGGAAAUGCAGCAUACAAACUAGAGUUACCCCGUGGCAGUAUGGUCCACCCUGUGUUUCAUGUAUCUCAACUCAAGGGCCAUGUGCCGGAUCAUACUCCGAUGUUUACUACUCUUCCGAUUCCACUCGAUCUAUCAGCACCUGGUGUGAUACCGGAGGAGAUUCUGGAUCACCGCCCGGUCAAAAAGGGCAAUGCAUCUUAUCUUCAGAUCCUGGUCAAGUGGUCAUCGAUCCCUGCUGCGUCAGCGACCUAG